GACGAACGCUGGCGGCGUGCCUAAUACAUGCAAGUAGAACGCUGAAGGAGGAGCUUGCUCUUCUGGAUGAGUUGCGAACGGGUGAGUAACGCGUAGGUAACCUGCCUGGUAGCGGGGGAUAACUAUUGGAAACGAUAGCUAAUACCGCAUAAUAGUAGAUGUUGCAUGAUAUUUACUUAAAAGGUGCAAUUGCACCACUACCAGAUGGACCUGCGUUGUAUUAGCUAGUUGGUGGGGUAACGGCUCACCAAGGCGACGAUACAUAGCCGACCUGAGAGGGUGAUCGGCCAAACUGGGACUGAGACACGGCCCCGACUCCUACGGGAGGCAGCAGUAGGGAAUCUUCGGCAAUGGACGAAAGUCUGACCGAGCAACGCCGCGUGAGUGAAGAAGGUUUUCGGAUCGUAAAGCUCGGUUGUAAGAGAAGAACGAGUGUGAGAGUGGAAAGUUCACACUGUGACGGUAUCUUACCAGAAAGGGACGGCUAACUACGUG
This 495-nucleotide ribosomal RNA is filed under the name uncultured bacterium. RNAcentral's name for it is "partial 16S ribosomal RNA". It matches the Rfam family "Bacterial small subunit ribosomal RNA", at positions 28 to 507 of the family's 1533-position model. The record is from RNAcentral.